AACAACUUAAAUGUCCAUUGACAGAAGAAUGGAUAAAGACGAUGUGGUACAUACAUACAAUGGAAUAUCCCUCACUCAUAAAAAGAAUGAAAUAAUGCCAUUUGCAGCAACAUGGAUGGACCUGAGAUUAUCCCACUAAGGAAGCAUGCCGGAGUUCCUGAGCCCGGGAUCAUGCCCAUGUCGUAGCAGGGACCUGAGCUACAGCAGUGACAAUGCUGAGCCACCGGGGAACUUCCUGCAGGAAACCUUUUAUACAAACCAAAAUCAUUAAAGGACGGGGCUCAUCGCUAGAGAAAUUGCAAAGAAACAACAUAGAAAACAAGCUGUUAUGGAGGCCAGAGCUGACAGGAGGGGAACAGCCUGUGCAAAGGUGUGGAGUGAGAGUGAGGCCGUGGGGUGAGCCCAGCACUGAGCACCUAGGAUCCUUCAGGCCAAUGCAAUAGGUUUUUGUCCAUGCUGGUCCCUCUGUCUAGAACACUCUUCCUCGGAGCUUCCCAGGUUCUGGCACGGGUCACCCUGUAGAUCAUGUUGGCGCUCUUCCCAGAUUCCCUCAGAUUCCUUUCUUCCAUGUUUGGGCCCCUCCUGGGCUCCAAGCAUCCCGGCAGUCCAGGGGUAUAGAUGUCAAAUGCAUCAGGAGGUCAAGGGAGCAGAGGACAGAGAACUGACCAUUGGAUUUGGCCAUGAGACUGAGACUGUCAUCGGUGACCUUGAUGCGUGAGCCAGAUGUCAUUCCCACCUGCGACAAAUCCGCAGAAGCGGCAGCACUGCUCUGAGAAGACGUCACAGGCUUUGCCAGACUGACAGAGGGAUCAAAAAGCCUCAGAAGCCUCGAUCUGAUGUUAACAAAAAGAGAGCAGUGCUCAUGCUGCAGCUGCUGGAGGACAGCCUGGAGGAGCAGGGCAUUCAGGAAAUAUGGAUUGUACCAACUGGAAAGGCUACAGGGAGCAGGGGUCCACCGUGCCCACUGGGGAGGCUCAGCGAGAAGGACGAUGGGGGCGGUGGCGGCGGCGGCGGCGGGAGGAAGUGCAGCGCGGAGAGGAAGCCGGG
This is a non-coding RNA of Sus scrofa (pig), 1047 nucleotides long. The record is from RefSeq and is a predicted model, not a curated record. NCBI's taxonomy places the organism in Eukaryota, Metazoa, Chordata, Mammalia, Artiodactyla, Suidae.